Molecule: non-coding RNA, 27 nt
Filed under: Mus musculus (house mouse)
Lineage: Eukaryota; Metazoa; Chordata; Mammalia; Rodentia; Muridae
Source: RNAcentral
UACAGGACCCUGGACCAUCUGACAAGA